This 816-nucleotide non-coding RNA is filed under the name Pongo abelii (Sumatran orangutan). Lineage: Eukaryota; Metazoa; Chordata; Mammalia; Primates; Hominidae. The record is from RNAcentral.
CCCAACUGGUACCACGUUUGACAAAUGAGAUCCUGUCUGGUCUUGUACAAAAGCAAUAAAAGGAUCUUCUUCCUAAAAGCACUGAGGACAAGAAAAAAAAAGUAUGUAUCAAUAAGAAAUUCACAUGAACCUCAUCACUUGCGACUUAUGAGAGAAAAUAGAACAGAAAAAGUAUCCUGUCUUCCCUUCAAAAUCAACGAGCAGGCCCUUUGUUUUUCUCCUUUUCUAUUAUUCAGCUGAAGCACAGCACAAAAAACACAAAUGUCAGUGGACAACUGUCUUUUUUAUAAAAAAGAAAACAAUUUAGGAAAGGCUCGUGGGUAAGAAAAUUGGCACCCACUGGCUGAAAAGUAUUUUGGGAUUUUCCAAGGAUUUAACUGGUGUGCCUCCUAUCCCAUCUUCCCCAUAAGAAAAGAAUAGGAGAAAAUAAGAUUAGGAAAACAUUCUGAGAUUCUCUUAAAUUUCAACAGAUCAUCCCCGUCUGUCUCUAGUAAGGGGAGUACAACUUUUAUGACCCUUCACCCUCUUGUGAAGAUGGAAGCCUUCACUUUAAAAAUAUUUUAGGCCAGGGGCAGUGGCUCAUGCCUGCAUUCCCAGCACUUUUGGAGACGGAGGUGGGAGGAUCACUUGAGCCAGGAGUUUCAGACCAGCCUGAGCAACACAGCGACACCCCGUCUCUACAAAACACAAAAUUAAAAAAAAAAAAAAAUAGCCAGGAUGGUAGAGCACACCAGUAGUUCUAGUUCAGGAGGCUGAGGUGGGAGAGUCACUUGAGCCCAGGAAUUCAAGGUUGCAGUGAGCCAUGACCUCAUCACU